Molecule: unclassified non-coding RNA, 262 nt
Filed under: Hevea brasiliensis (rubber tree)
Lineage: Eukaryota; Viridiplantae; Streptophyta; Magnoliopsida; Malpighiales; Euphorbiaceae
Source: RNAcentral
UGUUCUUGGUGUAGGUCAUAAAAGUUCCCUUAGAAGAAAAGAGACAUUCCCUAAGUAGGAAGUUGUACAUAACAGGCUACAAAAGGACUAACUAGCUAGGUAUACCUUGAAAAUAUAUUCUUAAUUAACAGCAACAAAUAUGACUAUUUACAGACAAAUAAUACGAAAAAGGCUUGAAUGCUAGAACCUACGUACAAAAGGCAAGCAUAAUAUGUCUGCUUAUAUAUAUUAUCUGUAUAUUCGUUUGGAACUUUUUGUAGCA